RNAcentral lists this RNase P RNA (320 nucleotides) under Flavobacterium crassostreae. Its description in RNAcentral is "Bacterial RNase P class A". It matches the Rfam family "Bacterial RNase P class A". From Rfam's summary of the family: Ribonuclease P (RNase P) is a ubiquitous endoribonuclease, found in archaea, bacteria and eukarya as well as chloroplasts and mitochondria. Its best characterised activity is the generation of mature 5'-ends of tRNAs by cleaving the 5'-leader elements of precursor-tRNAs. Lineage: Bacteria; Pseudomonadati; Bacteroidota; Flavobacteriia; Flavobacteriales; Flavobacteriaceae. The record is from Rfam by way of RNAcentral.
CCAACAGACCGCCUUAUCGCUGUUUUGAGCAAUCAAGAGAGAGGAAAGUCCGGACACCAUAGAGAAGCAUAGCGGGUAACACCCGUCGGUUUCAAUGUAUUGAAAUUAGGACAAGUGCAACAGAAAGUAUGUACAGGUAAUGCUGUAGUGAAACCAGGUAAACUCUAUGCGGUGAAAUAUCAAGUAUAUCAGCAUUUAAAAGCUUCUCGUUUGUUGCUGAAGGGUAGAUAGUUGGAGUCUCAGAGUAAUUUGAGACCUAGAUAAAUGAUAAGGGUUUGCUUUUGCAAAUACAGAAUCCGGCUUAUAGGUCUGUUUUUUUU